CAUUAGCUGGUAUUUCAAUUGAACUCUCUCUUUCUGAUGUAUCAGUGGAGAAAUUCCUAAUAUCGAGUAAAUGC
RNAcentral lists this small nucleolar RNA (74 nucleotides) under Zalophus californianus (California sea lion). RNAcentral's name for it is "Small nucleolar RNA SNORD26 (ENSZCAG00015012003.1)". It matches the Rfam family "Small nucleolar RNA SNORD26". Rfam says of the family: U26 is a member of the C/D class of snoRNA which contain the C (UGAUGA) and D (CUGA) box motifs. U26 is encoded within the U22 snoRNA host gene (UHG) in mammals and is thought to act as a 2'-O-ribose methylation guide for ribosomal RNA. Lineage: Eukaryota; Metazoa; Chordata; Mammalia; Carnivora; Otariidae. RNAcentral also lists the same sequence under 1 other name. The record is from RNAcentral.